UAAACCAGUCAUGAUUCACUCGAGUAUACAUGACUGUCUUUGGAUAACUGUGGUAAUCCUAGAGCUAAUACAUGCAAUCAAGUCCCGACCAGUCUAACUGGGAAGGACGCUUUUAUUAGAUCAAGACCAAUCGCCCGGCUUGUUCGGGCGUUGCCUUGGUGACUCUAGGUAACACAUCAGAUCGCACGGUCCUCGCACCGGCGACUUAUCCUUCAAAUGCCUGACUUAUCAACUGUCGAUGGUAGACUCUAUGUCUACCAUGGUUGUAACGGGUAACGGGGAAUCAGGGUUCGAUUCCGGAGAGGGAGCCUGAGAAACGGCUACCACAUCCAAGGAAGGCAGCAGGCACGCAAAUUACCCACUCCCGGCACGGGGAGGUAGUGACAAAAAAUAACGAUACGGGACUCUUAUGAGGCCCCGUAAUCGGAAUGAGUACACUUUAAAUCCUUUAACAAGGAUCCAUUGAAGGGCAAGUCUGGUGCCAGCAGCCGCGGUAAUUCCAGCUUCAAUAGCGUAUAUUAAAGUUGUUGCGGUUAAAAAGCUCGUAGUUGGUUCUGCGUGCCACGCUGUCGGUUCGCCGCCUGCCGGUGUAACUGGCAUGCCGUGGCAUGUCCUGUCGGUGGCGUUCGGGAGCCUCGUCUAGGCGCCGGCCCUUGCCCAAAGCUUGGUGCUCGGAGGCCGGGGGUAUACCCGUUCGCCUACUCUAUCCUACCUAGGUGCUCUUCACCGAGUGUCGAGGUAGGCCGACACGUUUACUUUGAACAAAUUAGAGUGCUCAAAGCAGGCUGAAAUCUCUGCCUGAAUAGUGGUGCAUGGAAUAAUAAAACAGGACCUUGGUUCUAUUUUGUUGGUUCUUAAGAACACAAGGUAAUGAUCAAUACGGACAGGCGGGGGCAUUCGUAUUGCGACGUUAGAGGUGAAAUUCUUGGAUCGUCGCAAGACGCACAAGAGCGAAAGCAUUAACCAUAAACGAUGCCAGCCAGCGAUCCGCCGAUGUUCCUCCGAUGACUCGGCGGGGAGCUUCUUCCCGGGAAACCAAAGCUUUUGGGUUCCGGGGGAAGUAUGGUUGCAAAGCUGAAACUUAAAGGAAUUGACGGAAGGGCACCACCAGGAGUGGAGCCUGCGGCUUAAUUUGACUCAACACGGGAAACCUCACCAGGCCAGGACAUUGGAAGGAUUGACAGAUUGAUAGCUCUUUCUUGAUUCAGUGGGUAGUGGUGCAUGGCCGUUCUUAGUUGGUGGAUCGAUUUGUCUGGUUAAUUCCGAUAACGAACGAGACUCUAGCCUAUUAACUAGGCGUUUUCCGGUGUCCUCGCCACCGGCGACAAUCAUUCUUCUUAAGGGGACAGGCGGCUUUUAGCCGCACGAGAUUGAGCAAUAACAGGUCUGUGAUGCCCUUAGAUGUCCUGGGCCGCACGCGCGCUACACUGAAGGAAUCAGCGUGUGCCUCCCUGGCCGAAAGGCCCGGGUAAUCCGCUGAACCUCCUGCGUGCUAGGAAUUGGGGCUUGCAAUUGUUCCCCAUGAACGAGGAAUUCCCAGUAAGCGCGAGUCAUAAGCUCGCGUUGAUUACGUCCCUGCCCUUUGUACACACCGCCCGUCGCUACUACCGAUUGAAUGAUUUAGUGAGGUCUUCGGACUGGCGGUAAUCCCUACCGACUUGUCGGUAUCGAUGAACGCUGGAAAGAUGACCAAACUUGAUCAUUUAGAGGAAGUAAAAGUCGUAACAAGGUUUCCGUAGGU
Molecule: ribosomal RNA, 1741 nt
Filed under: Apolygus insulicola
Lineage: Eukaryota; Metazoa; Arthropoda; Insecta; Hemiptera; Miridae
Description: SSU rRNA
Rfam family: Eukaryotic small subunit ribosomal RNA
Source: RNAcentral